UACGGAGGGUGCAAGCGUUAUCCGGAUUCACUGGGGUUAAAGGGUGCGUAGGUGGAUUGGUAAGUCAGUGGUGAAAUCUCCGGGCUUAACCCGGAAACUGCCAUUGAUACUAUCAGUCUUGAAUACCGUGGAGGUCAGUAGAAUAUGUCAUGUAGCGGUGAAAUGCAUAGAUAUGACCCGGAACACCUAUUGCGAAGGCAGCAGGCUAAACAAAUAUUGACGCUGAGGCUCGAAAGCGUGGGGAUCAAACAGG
Molecule: ribosomal RNA, 253 nt
Filed under: uncultured bacterium
Lineage: Bacteria
Description: partial 16S ribosomal RNA
Rfam family: Bacterial small subunit ribosomal RNA
Source: RNAcentral